GGUCCAGACUUUGAUUAUGGCUCAGGAUGAACGCUAGCUACAGGCCUAACACAUGCAAGUCGAGGGGAAACGGCAGCUUAGCUUGCUAAGCUGGACGUCGACCGGCGCACGGGUGAGUAACGCGUAUCCAACCUGCCCCACGGUGAGGGAUAACCCGCGGAAACGCGGCCUAAUACCUCAUGGUCUCCGAGUUUGCCAUCAACCUUGGAGUAAAGAUUCAUUGCCGUGGGAUGGGGAUGCGUCUGAUUAGCUUGUUGGCGGGGCAACGGCCCACCAAGGCAACGGUCAGUAGGGGUUCUGAGAGGAAAGCCCCCCACAUUGGAACUGAGACACGGUCCAAACUCCUACGGGAGGCAGCAGUGAGGAAUAUUGGUCAAUGGGCGAGAGCCUGAACCAGCCAAGUAGCGUGCAGGAUGACGGCCCUAUGGGUUGUAAACUGCUUUUAUGCGGGGAUAAAGCGGGCGACGUGUCGCCCUUUGCAGGUACCGCAUGAAUAAGGACCGGCUAAUUCCGUGCCAGCAGCCGCGGUAAUACGGAAGGUCCGGGCGUUAUCCGGAUUUAUUGGGUUUAAAGGGAGCGCAGGCCGGGUAUUAAGCGUGUUGUGAAAUGUAGGCGCCCAACGUCUGCACCGCAGCGCGAACUGGUGCCCUUGAGUACGCACGACGUUGGCGGAAUUCGCCGUGUAGCGGUGAAAUGCUUAGAUAUGGCGAAGAACUCCGAUUGCGAAGGCAGCUGACGGGAGCGCUACUGACGCUCAUGCUCGAAAGCGCGGGUAUCGAACAGGAUUAGAUACCCUGGUAGUCCGCGCGGUAAACGAUGGAUGCCCGCUAUUUGCGCAUUAGCGCAAGUGGCCAAGUGAAAACGUUAAGCAUCCCACCUGGGGAGUACGCCGGCAACGGUGCAACUCAAAGGAAUUGACGG
RNAcentral lists this ribosomal RNA (921 nucleotides) under uncultured Bacteroidota bacterium. RNAcentral describes it as "bacterial SSU rRNA". It matches the Rfam family "Bacterial small subunit ribosomal RNA", at positions 1 to 916 of the family's 1533-position model. The record is from RNAcentral. Lineage: Bacteria; Pseudomonadati; Bacteroidota.